RNAcentral lists this ribosomal RNA (484 nucleotides) under uncultured bacterium. RNAcentral's name for it is "partial 16S ribosomal RNA". It matches the Rfam family "Bacterial small subunit ribosomal RNA", at positions 30 to 507 of the family's 1533-position model. The record is from RNAcentral.
AUUGAACGCUGGCGGCAGGCCUAACACAUGCAAGUCGAGCGGAUGAAGGGAGCUUGCUCCUGGAUUCAGCGGCGGACGGGUGAGUAAUGCCUAGGUAUCUGCCUGGUAGUGGGGGCUAACGUCAGGAACGGGGCGGUAAUACCGCAUACGUCCUGAGGGGGAAAGUGGGGGAUCUUCGGAGCUUACGUUGUUGGUUGGGCCUUGGUCGGACUAGCUAGUUGGUGGGGUAGAGGCCUACAAAGGCGACGAUCCGAAAGUGGUCUCAGAGGAUGAACAGUCACACGGUAAGUGAGACACGGCCCCCACUCCUGCGCGGGGAAGCGGCCGGGAAUAUUGCGCGAUGGGCGAAAGCCUAAUCCAACCAUGCCGGGUGAGUGAAGAAGGUCUUCUGAUGGUAGAGCACUGAAAGUUGUGAGGAAGGAAAGUAAUUUAAGACCGGACGGUAUUGACGUUACCAGCAGAAGAAGCACCGGCUAACUUCGUG